RNAcentral lists this transfer-messenger RNA (315 nucleotides) under Alphaproteobacteria bacterium. It matches the Rfam family "Alphaproteobacteria transfer-messenger RNA". From Rfam's summary of the family: Bacterial tmRNA, also known as 10Sa RNA or SsrA, is named for its dual tRNA and mRNA-like properties. Its role is to liberate the mRNA from a stalled ribosome. Lineage: Bacteria; Pseudomonadati; Pseudomonadota; Alphaproteobacteria. The record is from RNAcentral.
CCCCUAGCAACGCUCCCAGGGUUCGCCUAUAUCGGUAUGGCUGGUCCUUUGGACCAUCUAUGGUGAUAAACGAACGUUGGAAUAAGCGUUGUGGACCCGGGGGCAGUGCCCGGCGCCUCCACCAACUUCUACAGUUGGGUGCGGGGGCGACACAGGCUCGACACGCGUGGUAAAGACCGUUCUUUUGCUCGGCAUGAUACCGCCGUUAUCGGGUCAUAUCACAAGUGCCAAUGACAAUCAUCAGGCGCUCGCGAUCGCUGCGUAAGCAGUGACACGCGCGGUUCGGGGGGUACCGGGCAACAGAAACCCCCCACU